UCUGGCUGGCCGUCACUGCAAACUUAAGCUGUGUCUGGUCCCGUGUAGCUCCGCCCCUCUAUUCCGUGUAGCUCCGCCCCCUCGAGCCGCCGUAGCUCCGCCCCCUUUUCAGGCCCCGAACUGCACAGCCCGCUGUCACAGGUGAUUGGGGGGGUGGGGGCUUUUCAUGCUGCCGCGUAGUAGGCGGACACUAGCAGGCAGUGUCCGCCUACUUAUCGUUCAGUUGGGGGGAAAGUUUCCCCUACACCUGAACGAUUGGUUGGGAAAAUCAAACAGGUUUGAUUUUCCCAACUAGUUGGACAGACCGUUUCUGUCCGUUUUUCAGCGUGUGGGAGCAAACGGCUGAUAAUCGUUUGCUCCCACACACUGCCACAUUAUCUUUCCAACCAGCCAACUAGUUGGCUGGUUGGAAAGAUAUCGUCCUGAUGUAUGGCCAGCUUUAUUAAGUUACUAUGUUACAUCAUUAUGUAAAGAAAAUAAAAGAAGCAUGAGUCUUGCCUGCACAAACUUACAGUCUAAUGGGAAAAUGGGUUCACACUAAGAGGGAGAGAGGAGAAGUGCACUGGGGUGUACAGAAUGUAGAGUUAGGAGGAGGGGUGGUAGACUUGGGUGAAAAAGUUUGUUUUAAGGGUAGUGGGAGGAUAUUCCAGUUGGCAGCAGCAUGCAAAAUCCUGAAGGCCGAUAUGCAAAGAUGUGAUCGUGAUUGUGAACCCGGACUAGUACUGGACACUGGGUUUGGUCUUGGGCGCUGUGAACAGUAUUGGGCUGGCUUGAUGAAUGAUCUGCUCAUGCAGACGUGGCAGUUAGGCUGGAGGCUCUGUGAAAAAAGGUGACAAGCUAUGGGUACUGGAACGGGAACCACCAGUGCAAUGAGUAGCUGGAUUGUCACCUAUCUGAAAGUCACGUGAGGACUGGUGAGUAGAUGGAAUGCUGGGGGGGACCAGCAAUGCAGGAAUGGAGUGCUGGACGGAACCAGCACGGCCAGGUUAUCGGAUGCUGGACUGAAGUAGCUUGGCAGUACACAAUGGCUGGAUGGAACCAGCUCAGUAAUUGUGGAGGAAGCUGAGGACGUCAGCAAUACAGGCAGUUCACAGAAGGCUGGACGGAACCAGUGCAGUAGUUGUAGAGAAAGCUGUGGACUUCACAGUUCACAGAAGGCUGGACGAUACUGUGGCAGUGCAGCAGGAUUCCAACGCUGUGGAAUGUAGUAUUAGCACUGCAGGUUUUCCAGGUGCUGGGAUGUGGUGAUACUGCACAGCAGAUAACUGGAUGCUUAUAGGAACCAGCAGAGUCUCUUAUCCUGCUAAGGGAUGCAGGACAGUCCCUCUGGAUCACUGGAGGACUUCCAGUGAAUCUGGAGAUGCCCUGAUGUAGUGGCAGCUAUGGCCCUUCAUCUAGGGAGUCAGGGAGUGCUAGAGAUGACAACUGCACCGAGUCUAUACCAGCAGGAGAUUCAGGAGCUCACUCCGGGCUGGGAGACACCAAUGCACUGACAGUUUGCCAGUGCCGAGACCUGGAAUUUAUACCCAGUGCUUACAGCUGAGUGGAUGAGCGGCUGACAUGUUGCGGAUGUGAAUCCGGAUUGGCUCCAGGAAGGUCAGCUGGCUGGAGACUGUAAUGGCACUGUCCAUGGAGCUGAGCGGCGGGCGGCAGAGGACUUCAGGGGAGCGCACACCUGAGGGAUCACACCCAGGCUUGCAGUGGAGGGUUUCAUAGAAACCAGGUUCCUUGCUGCCCAUUGCCGAGGCUGAAAGAAAUGAACUCACCGCUAAUGGCAUCUGUGCUACGCUUUUUGAAGAUUCAUUCUGCACUUAAGAAUGAAAACGCCUAAAUGGUAAAAAGAAAAAAUAAUCAAAACAAAACUUACAUCUCAUUUUGAGUGAUACCUUUCAAGGAUACUUCAAACAAACAAAUACUGUAUGUGACAAUAAUGUUAUUUCAAUGCAUUAAACUUGUUGAUCCACAAA
Molecule: long non-coding RNA, 1967 nt
Organism: Pseudophryne corroboree (corroboree frog)
Lineage: Eukaryota; Metazoa; Chordata; Amphibia; Anura; Myobatrachidae
Exons: 2
Source: RefSeq, a predicted model, not a curated record